AUUUUUUUCUAUAUGUUGAAUAGAUUCAACACCUAAAAAUCUAAUGCAAAUUUUUUUUCAACAGGUCCAAUGCAAGCAGUUUUAGUCACAUGCAGUUAAAGUAUUAAAUCCUUCUACUUAUAAAUAUUUUAUUCCUACUUAAUAGCAUGUAUGUAUUUUGGCAAAAAAAUGCUAAAUCGGAGAUGAAGUUAAAAUAUAUAUUGUGCGCUCUAAUAUCAAAUUAAGAAUUAUAUUUCGUCCAAGCUACUUAGUACGUACAUGUUGUAUUCACUAGUUGUCCUUCCUUUCUUCUUUUCCAUGGUCACAAUUUGGUUCAUUGUUUCUUCUAAGGGAUUGAGCAAUCACGGUUUUUCGGGAGAGUGUUUUUUGGGCAAUAUCUCUUUAUAUAUUUAAGAAUGCUAAAAUGUAGUAUUUUUGUUGGUUCUUGUUUCAUUGCCAACAUUGUACGAGGCGUGAUGAAGGCAGUGAAGAGAAUAAGGGUAGUUUCGUAGACAUAGUAGUUGAAGAGCUAAAGCUAAGAGAAGACGAAUAACACACAUACAUGUUGCUAAGAAAGGAGCGUCUUCGCAAGGGAGAAAUCCGAGGUGAUUCGAGCUAGGCAAAGAGGAUGGAAAGAUGUAAUUGUGUUUUCAAAUCAUAUAUAUGAAAGGAGGUGACCUAUCUCCAUAUGAAUGACAUGUUACACCAUAGAGAUGAUAUUUUCUGUAUUCUCUCAUCUUAUUCGGAAACCUAAAAAGGUAUGGUGAAAAAUAUAAGAAUAGAAGAAUGAGAAAAUGGAGGCUUCUUAAACUAAUUUUAAAUUGUAUUUGCUUAAUUUAGGACUUGAAAAUAUAUUCUGUAUAUUUUGAAGAUUAGUGAAAUUAAUGGGUAAUUUUCUCAGACAUGGAAAUCUUGUUUUAUUGUUUUU
RNAcentral lists this small RNA (907 nucleotides) under Arabidopsis thaliana (thale cress). Its description in RNAcentral is "ATSL278780". The record is from RNAcentral. Lineage: Eukaryota; Viridiplantae; Streptophyta; Magnoliopsida; Brassicales; Brassicaceae.